This 1213-nucleotide ribosomal RNA is filed under the name Torleya nepalica. RNAcentral's name for it is "16S ribosomal RNA". The stretch from base 762 to 1213 matches the Rfam family "Bacterial large subunit ribosomal RNA", at positions 2048 to 2774 of the family's 2925-position model. The record is from RNAcentral. Lineage: Eukaryota; Metazoa; Arthropoda; Insecta; Ephemeroptera; Ephemerellidae.
UGGUUGCUCUAAGUAGGCAUGGAGAAUAAAUUAAUUGAAAUAACAGAGAGUUUUAGUAGGGAGUAGUGAACAAACUUAUAAGGUAAACCGAGAGGGAUGAAUGAAAGAGUAUUAAACCAUAAGAAAGAAGUUAUUUAAUGUACCUUUUGUAUCAGGGUUUAUCAAAUAAAUAAUAAAUAAGAUUUUCUCGAUUUGAAAGGAGCUAUUUUCUUAAAUCAGUUAAAGUAUCAAAUUUAUAUAAAAUAAGAAGAUAGAGAUGAAAUGUCAGCCGACUUUCAAGGUAUCUAGUUUUUCAAGAGGUGAAUUUAAUUCAGGUAAUAGAGGAUACCCACUUAGGGCAUGUCUAUUACUACAAUUUUAGGGGAUAAGCUCUAAAAUUACCCAUAAGUUCAAGAUUUAUUAAUAGAUAGGCUUAGAAGUAGCCAAUGAAAGAGUGUUAUAACUUAUUUAUGGGUAUAGAUAUUUUAUGUUCUUUGGGCCUCCAUUGAAAUAUCUUUAUUAACAAGGGAUAAAGAUAAAUAAUGAUUAAAUAAGUAUAUUAGUGAGGUCCUGUUAAGGAAUUCGGCAAAUUUGUGCUCGCCUGUUUAUCAAAAACAUCGCCUUUAGGGAGAAUUGAAGGUAUGACCUGCCCACUGAAGAAUUGAAGGGCCGCGGUAUUUUGACCGUGCAAAGGUAGCAUAAUCAUUAGUCUUGUAAUUGAAGACUAGUAUGAAGGGUGGAACGAGGUACAAGCUGUCUUCAUGGGAAUAUAGAAUUUCACUUUUUAGUGAAAAGGCUAAAAUAAUAUUAGAGGACGAGAAGACCCUAUAGAACUUUAUAAAUACCAAAUUUGUACUUUAGGGUAAGGGAGGUAUAUGAUUUGGGGUUUAUUCCGUUGGGGUGAUGAGGUAAUAUAGAAACUUACUUUAAUUAAACAUUUUACGUGAAUAAGUGAACCAUAAAUAAUGAUUAAAAGAUUAAGUUACCUUAGGGAUAACAGCAUAAUCCUUUUAGAGAGUUCAAAUCGAUAAAAGGGAUUGUGACCUCGAUGUUGGAUUAAGAUUUAUUUUAGGUGUAGCAGCUUAAACUGAAAGGUCUGUUCGACCUUUAAAAUCUUACAUGAUCUGAGUUCAGACCGGCGUGAGCCAGGUCGGUUUCUAUCCUUAAUUAGAAGAGGUGCUUUAGUACGAAAGGACCAAGCACUGGGGAUGAAGCCCUAAAGAAGAAUACCAGU